GGUAGCGUGGCCGAGCGGUCUAAGGCGCUCGUUUUCGGCACCAGUCAUUUCGAUGGCGUGGGUUCGAAUCCCACCGCUGCCA
This 82-nucleotide transfer RNA is filed under the name Saccoglossus kowalevskii. Its description in RNAcentral is "tRNA-Arg". It matches the Rfam family "tRNA". From Rfam's summary of the family: Transfer RNA (tRNA) molecules are approximately 80 nucleotides in length. Their secondary structure includes four short double-helical elements and three loops (D, anti-codon, and T loops). Lineage: Eukaryota; Metazoa; Hemichordata; Enteropneusta; Harrimaniidae. The record is from RNAcentral.